GUGCAGCAGGCGCGAAACUUUACAAUGUGCGAAAGCACGAUAAGGGAACUCUGAGUGCCUCCUAAGGAGGCUGUUCAGGUGUCUAAAAGCACCUGAAGGAAGGGCUGGGUAAGACCGGUGCCAGCCGCCGCGGUAACACCGGCAGCCCAAGUGGUAGCCACGUUUAUUGGGUCUAAAGCGUCCGUAGCCGGCUGGGUAAGUUCCUUGGGAAAUUUGGCUGCUUAACAGUCAAGCUUUCAGGGAAUACUGCCCGGCUUGGGACCGGGAGAGGUCAGGAGGUACUCCGAGGGGUAGGGUGAAAUCCAUUAAUCCGUUGGGGACCACCGGUAGCGAAGGCGUCUGACCAGGACCGGUCCGACGGUGAGGGACGAAGG
This 374-nucleotide ribosomal RNA is filed under the name uncultured microorganism. RNAcentral describes it as "bacterial SSU rRNA". It matches the Rfam family "Archaeal small subunit ribosomal RNA", at positions 330 to 710 of the family's 1478-position model. The record is from RNAcentral.